UAUUGCUUGGAUGUAAGUUUUAUUUGACUAAACAAGUUUGUUGAGCAUGUUUUUUCUCAUGCUUCUAAUAUUUGGAAUUUCCUUUUUUGAAUUAACAUGCAGGCCUUGUAUUUAAACUGCCCACAACUCAAUGAUCUUAAUCUAAAUUCUUGUAGAAAUUUGCAUCCAGGUAGUCAUUUUACGCCAUGCUCUAUUGCCAUUAUCAGCCAGAAAUUUGAUGCAACAUUACAGAUCAUCCAGUAUUGUGCAGUUGAGCUAGCAUGUAUUAGAGGGGCAGCAAAGAAGCACUUAUGCCUAAAUUGACAUUUUUAACAAUAUGAACACAUGAACAGAUGUAUGGCCUAGGCUUUGUGAGCACUGGUGGACUUGGAUAAAGCACUGAUGGAAGAUCCAAUCUAUGAGGAAAAUUCUGGCAAAGGGAUGUGGAAGAAUCAAUCAGA
Long non-coding RNA from Glycine soja, 440 nucleotides. RefSeq lists it as uncharacterized. Lineage: Eukaryota; Viridiplantae; Streptophyta; Magnoliopsida; Fabales; Fabaceae. The record is from RefSeq and is a predicted model, not a curated record. The transcript has 3 exons.